Molecule: ribosomal RNA, 503 nt
Filed under: uncultured bacterium
Lineage: Bacteria
Description: partial 16S ribosomal RNA
Rfam family: Bacterial small subunit ribosomal RNA
Source: RNAcentral
GAUGAACGCUAGCGGCAGGCCUAACACAUGCAAGUCGAGGGGUAGCAGGAUUAAGCUUGCUUAAUUGCUGACGACCGGCGCACGGGUGCGUAACGCGUAUGCAACCUACCUUAUACUGGGGUAUAGCCCGGAGAAAUUCGGAUUAAUCCCCCAUAGUACUAAUGAAUCGCAUGGUUUAUUAGUUAAAGCAUUGCGGUAUAAGAUGGGCAUGCGUCCUAUUAGCUAGAUGGUGAGGUAACGGCUCACCAUGGCUACGAUAGGUAGGGGGCCUGAGAGGGUGGUCCCCCACACUGGUACUGGGACACGGACCAGACUCCUACGGGAGGCAGCAGUGAGGAAUAUUGGUCAAUGGGCGCAAGCCUGAACCAGCCAUGCCGCGUGCAGGAAGAAUGCCCUAUGGGUUGUAAACUACUUUUAUUUGGGAAUAAACCUCUUUACGUGUAGAGAGCUGAAGGUACCAAAUGAAUAAGCACCGGCUAACUCCGUGCCAGCCGCCGCAGUAA